UUCCAUCUGGCUCAGCUGGUAAAGAAUCCGCCUGCAACGCGGGAGACCUGGGUUCGAUUCCUGGGUUGGGAA
RNAcentral lists this transfer RNA (72 nucleotides) under Bos taurus (domestic cattle). It matches the Rfam family "tRNA". From Rfam's summary of the family: Transfer RNA (tRNA) molecules are approximately 80 nucleotides in length. The record is from Rfam by way of RNAcentral. RNAcentral also lists the same sequence under 4 other names. Lineage: Eukaryota; Metazoa; Chordata; Mammalia; Artiodactyla; Bovidae.